AAGACCUGUGAAGAUUUGAAUGAACUGAUCUAAAGCUAAAUAAAUAGAACCAACAGAUAAAUAUGUAUAUAGCUAGGACAGUGAAAAUGCUUAAAGGAAGUAGAACUCUGAGUAAAGAAAAAAAAACCAAACCAACAACAGUGAAAGUCCUGGAGAAGAGGUAAAAAAAUUGAGGACCAGAGACUUUCCCAAGGUUACAUAGGCAGGAAGCAUUGGAGGAAGAAUUUCAACUCAGGUUUUCUGGCUCUAGAACUAGAAUUUUUUCCAUUAUACCAUAUUGGAAUCUAGUUACUUAGGCAGAGAAUAGUCUAGAGGGAAAACAAUCAAGCAAACAUGUAGGACUUUCAUCCAAGAAACUUGGUUUCUAGUCCAUCUCUGCCACUAACUAAAAGACUUUGGACAAGUCCUUAACCUCUUUGUCAUAGGAGGAAACCAAGGCCCAGAUAAAUUAAUGUCGAAGGAAUGCAUGAAUGAAUAUGAGCUGGUCUAGGCUUUUCUCAUUCUUUUUUCUAUAACAAGUUCAUGACAGACAUUAUGCCCAGUGGAUUGAGUCCUGAGCUUCUAGCUCAAGUUGUGCCUCUGACAUAUACUAGCUCUGUGACAGACACUUUUGAUGGCCUGGGCAAGUCUCCAAGAUAAGCAGUGUUGGAGGAGCUGUUGAUCUAUGUUGGAGAAGGGAAUUUUCACCCUGGGAACCGCCUACACAGAUGAACAACUAGGUCUCUCUGUACCAAAAAAGUCACAUUGCUAAUAAGUGAGAGGGCUGGCACUAGAGCUUAGGAUGGCCAUUGCAGAAGCCUUUGAAGGAAUUUAAGGAGGCCUGGAAAAGGGAGAGGGACUUACCCAUGCAGUAUUGUCUGAUCCUUUCCCAAAGCUCAGUUCCCAGGAACAGGAUGUCGAGAGGAGACCCGUUUCCUUCUACACUCAAUUGUGCAACCCGUGGGUCUCCCUGUUUGGGGCCAUCGGGUCCCUUACCAUCAUGUUUGUGAUUCAGUGGAUCUAUGCAUUGGUUGACAUAGGGGUUGCUGUCAUCCUCUAUUUCUACAUUGGCCAAGUAAGCCCCGGCCUUCAUCCUGGAGCUGCUGCCAAUUAUAGCCUUUUCCGAUGGAUAAAGUCCCUUCUGAUACCUUCAUUCAGGAGGCUCCAGGCCCCUCAGGAACAGAUUAUUUUGACGCCGUCCCUGGCCAAGGUUGACAUGGAGAUGAUGCAGCUCACCAAGGAGAACACGGACUUUGCCUCUCGGGACCGGUACCACCAUUCCUCCCUCGUAAGCAGGGAAGAGCUGAUAAAUCAGUUCUAGUGGCUGCCAGGGAAGGAAGCCUUUAUUUCCAGGAAGCUUCCCUAUGGGUGUAGUGGACCUCCGCCCUAAAACUAUGGCGGCCCUGGCCCCAUUCAAUGGGAAAAUGCACCCCAGCUUUCCAUUGAUAAGAACAGGGACCACUGCAGGAACAAUGGGAGAAAUCUGGAUUCUGGAGAGCUGCCUGCCAACGGAAGUCAACAGAAUGAAGGGCUCUAAGAGCUUACCCAGAGGCCGGAGCAGAUUUUCCUGGCUUUCUUUUUUCCAGUGGCUGCCUUUUAAAUUAAAAUGUUUAAAGACCAGG
Monodelphis domestica (gray short-tailed opossum) is the source of this 1601-nucleotide non-coding RNA. Lineage: Eukaryota; Metazoa; Chordata; Mammalia; Didelphimorphia; Didelphidae. The record is from RefSeq and is a predicted model, not a curated record.